AUGCGCCCUAUUGUUAGUAAAAUAAUUGAUCCACCUCUACUGGUGGCCGACUUGCUUACGGCUGAGGCGUCCUGGGACAUGGACAAAUUGGCCCAAAUCUUCUUGCCUACAGAUGCACAAGCUAUUGCUGCUAUCCCUCUUUGUCCAAGGCAGGUGGAUGACUUUUGGUCAUGGAUCCAUGAGAAGAAUGGUGUUUUCACAGUCCGGUCAGCCUACAGAAUGUUAGUAUCCACAAAGGCUCGCCAGGAUGCUUGGCUUGAGGGCAGAGCAGAUUCUUUAAAUUCGGAGAGGGAGACGAAGGUAUGGACAAGUAUGUGGAAGACCAACGUCCCAUCUAAGGUUAAAAUUUUCUUAUGGAGGCUUGCUCAGCAAUCUCUGCCCACGGCUGAUCUUCUAACUCAUAGAAACAUGGCGACAGCGUCUUCGUGUGGCCUUUGUGGAGCGGACAAUUCAUGGCAGCACUCUCUCCUUCACUGUAACAUGGCAAGAUGCGUAUGGGCGUCAGAAGACCCGGACCUUGCUGAUGUUUUUCACAACAUAAGGGAACCGGAAGCCAAAAGGUGGAUAUUUACACUAAUUGACAGCCUGCAACAUGAUGUUUUCAUCAGGGUCAUAGUGACAUUGUGGGCUAUCUGGUACGCCCGAAGAAAGGCGUUACAUGAGCAUAUCUUCCAGACCCCUCACGCAACCCAUCAUUUUAUCCGCAACUAUAUUAGGGAGCUCGGCGAGAUCAAACCAAAGGGGACACAAGCUCCACCAGCGGCAAGGGCACCCCGCCCGUGCAGAACGCCUCCGGCGGCAGGAUUUGCUAAGAUCAAAGUGGACGGAGCUACUUCCAGGAGUUCAAACAGAGGAUCUUUUAGUGCCGUGUGCAGGGAUGAAACAGGGAAGUUCAUGGGCGCGUCAGCUAUCAGAUGUGUUGGCAUAACUGACCGAGCAGCUUUGGAGGCGCUAGCCUGCCGAGAAGCCCUUUCAUUGGCCCAGGAUCUUUCUCUAACACAUGUGAUGAUAGCAUCAGACUGCCAAGAGGUUGUUACAAAUAUCAAAAUCGAUGCAGGAGGCUUGUAUGGCAGCAUCGUGAAGGAGAUCAAAUCAACUUCAGCUCAGUUCACGUCUUGUACUUCCAUUUUCGAGGGACGUGAGUCUAAUAUUGAGGCACACAGCCUCGCUAAGCACACUCUAGGACUUUCUUUAGGACCCCAUUUGUGGCUCCUCGAACCUCAAGACCUUAAUUGUAUCCCAAUGUAUUUGGACUAUGAUCAUUAA
This 1266-nucleotide ribosomal RNA is filed under the name Triticum aestivum (bread wheat). RNAcentral describes it as "partial small subunit ribosomal RNA". The record is from RNAcentral. Lineage: Eukaryota; Viridiplantae; Streptophyta; Magnoliopsida; Poales; Poaceae.